RNAcentral lists this ribosomal RNA (253 nucleotides) under uncultured bacterium. RNAcentral's name for it is "partial 16S ribosomal RNA". It matches the Rfam family "Bacterial small subunit ribosomal RNA", at positions 524 to 776 of the family's 1533-position model. The record is from RNAcentral.
UACGAAGGGGGCUAGCGUUGUUCGGAAUUACUGGGCGUAAAGCGUGCGCAGGCGGCUUUCCAAGUCAGUGGUGAAAGCCUGGAGCUCAACUCCGGAAAUGCCAUUGAAACUGUGAAGCUUGAGAACGAGAGAGGUGAGUGGAAUUCCCAGUGUAGAGGUGAAAUUCGUAGAUAUUGGGAAGAACACCAGUGGCGAAGGCGGCUCACUGGCUCGUAACUGACGCUCAUGCACGACAGCGUGGGGAUCAAACAGG